GAGACAACAUAAAGACGGUACAUGGAAAAAUGACAGAAGUGCUUUGUAGCCAGAGAUCCACAUUCACAGAAUAACUACGAGAACUCAGUAUCUCUUCAGGAAGAGGAACUGGGGCUCGCCUACCACUUCGCAGGAGGCAGGGCACUCCUCAAGCUUUAAGUCCAGCAUGUAAGAAGCUUGGAUGUGGCCACUCCAUUCUAACAAGUAAAAAGCUGAGCAAGCUGCAGCCAACAACUCCUCUUAGAUGGAAUCCAACAAUUCCAUGUACAAAUGAUGAUGGUUCAGCCAAGAUUCCAGCCCACCCCACUGGAGGAUCCCGUGGACCUGGCCACCAAGAAGUUUCACUCAAAUCACCCAUCAGCACGUUAAUGUA
Long non-coding RNA from Neogale vison (American mink), 373 nucleotides. RefSeq lists it as uncharacterized. Lineage: Eukaryota; Metazoa; Chordata; Mammalia; Carnivora; Mustelidae. The transcript has 3 exons. The record is from RefSeq and is a predicted model, not a curated record.